Molecule: long non-coding RNA, 2002 nt
Organism: Arvicola amphibius (Eurasian water vole)
Lineage: Eukaryota; Metazoa; Chordata; Mammalia; Rodentia; Cricetidae
Exons: 2
Source: RefSeq, a predicted model, not a curated record
CCCGGGGGAUUUUUUUCCCCACAUGGGAAAGGGGCUUGCGGGAGAACAGUCUGCACCACAAGCCUCCAGUGCAGGGCAGCGGACUGACUCCAUGGACCCACCGGGUUAGGGGUGGUCCGGGCGUACCCAGCACCUCGCUAGCUGCCUACCUGAGCAUCCGGUCCACCUCGGCCCGCUGCUCCGCGGCCUCUUCGGUGUUGAGUGCCUGCAGUUCCUUGAGGAUGGGAGGAGUGUCAUAGUCGUCCCCGUCCUCCGAGCCCUCGUCCCCAGACAAGCGGCCCUUGGCGUGGCCAUUGGUGAGAGUAUGGAAAACCGGUUUGGUGUCGAGAUCCGUCCUGCUGCCGGGGGAAAGAGGCAGCGUCUCCAGUUUCACCCCGAAGUUCGGGGACGGCAGUAACUCCUCUAAGGCCUGGACCAGCACUUCCUUGGUGACUCCAGAGCUCAGCAACGCGCUCAAGAGUUCUUGUUGGAGCGACGUGAGCUUGGACACCAUUUUCCAAGGACGGAAAAAGAAGGGGGUGAGGGGAUGGGUGGGUGUGAGAGAGGAGGGUGGAGGGGAGUUUUACAAGAGAACUCUAAGUCCUGGAACCCCUCCACCCUUUAGCCUCCAGACACCUGUUACUCCCCAGGGUCCCGGAGUCUCCUCCGAGAGGAGUCAGAAAACUUCUAACUUGCCAUGAUCGCCACCAUUAGGCCAUAUAAGAUAUGCAAAUGAGUGGGAAGGGCUCGGCUUUCGGCAAGAUGCAAAUGGUGGUGGGGAGGGGGAAAAACCGAGAGAGUGGGAGAACCUAAGGGACAGUCCAACGGAGCCAGAGACUUGGGCCGGGAUCGGGACUUGCCAGGGCCCAUUGUACUCACCCUUGGGGGGGCUCCAAAUCUUUUCUACCGGUUCUGUUUAUCAGCCAAACUUUAGCUGACCUUUGGACUUGUUAAGCAAGUGGCUUGCAGCCUAGGCUGGGUGGGGGUGGGGGGCUGCUUUUCCACAGGCGGAGGUUCAACUUUAGUGGAGAAAGAAGAAACCGCGCUUCGGGGGUUCAGGUCUGGCCCGGAAGGAAACCAUCAGCCUUUCGGCGCGGCAGGAGUUUCUGCCACAGCUCCCCUGGGACCCGGAGAGGAAGAAAGGAGGCACAGGCCGCACCCAGACCUCCAGGCUGGGACCUGACCUGAGGGGUAGAGACUGCUUCAAUCCAUACACAGUAAUAGCUCUCCGGGGCGGAAGCCACUUUGAACCUUGGUUCCUCCCUUUGUGAAAUACAUUCCUAAUAACCAGGAGGCAGGGAAGGUGUAGACGCUGAGGAAGACCACCUGUGCAAAACUGGCUAACACUUGUGUUCACACUUUCUAGUCCGUGAAGGUGGGAGGCCAGUUCCCAGUGGUAAAAUCUAGCCCUUUAGAAGCUUGGGGUUCUCAGAAUCAGAGACACUGAGGUUGGAAGAACCGGGCAAAGAAGGACAAAAGUUCAGACCUCUCGGGAGAGCAAAGGAACUUCUAAGCACAUUCUCUUAACUGCCUGCACUUUCAAAAGCAGCGGAUUAGGAGGAAAUUGCGGUUGGGUCAGAGGUAGAGAUGAAUAUUCACAAGAGAGAAGAGAGUGGCCCGCAGCCCUCCUCUGCUAGGCGCAGGGUCAGACCUCCCAGUGAGCCAACUCUGGUGAGUCACGCUGCAAGGGUGAAGAUUCUGUGGAAGGCGGAGCAGUGACUGGUACCUGGAUCACCUGUGCUUGGAGUCUGGGAGAAGGAAGGGGUGGGUGCGGGUGCGUGCAUGGGAUCCCAAGGGUUCACAGAAGGGAGGGGGAGCUUCAUUUCACCUUUCUUUCUAGUUUGUUGUGACAUAUGAGAGAUCCUUGCCUCCUGUGAUCCUGCCCAGUAGGAGAAUUCUCUGCCUCCCAGCGCCACUCAGGCAGGAUGAUGAAGUGUUCGAAGUAAAUGUCCCUGAGCCAAGAACAUUGUUUUCGCUGCCUCUUACUCAAUAUAAGUAAUAUAAUAAAGUAUAAGGAGCAGCA